AAGAGAACUGCCUCUGGGCUAAUCUCCCACCCUUUGUUUACAAUACCUUUGUUGCUUUGGCAGGCCCGUCCUCGGACCGCCGGCUUCGGCUGGCCCGCGCCUGCCAGAGGACCCCAAACUCUUGUUAUCAUGUCGUCUGAGUACUAUAUAAUAGUUA
This 157-nucleotide unclassified non-coding RNA is filed under the name uncultured Collophora. Its description in RNAcentral is "sequence contains ITS1". Lineage: Eukaryota; Fungi; Ascomycota; Leotiomycetes. The record is from RNAcentral.